GCGGUCGUGGCGAAACGGCAGACGCGCUAGCUUCAGGCGCUAGUGAAGGCAACUUCAUGGUGGUUCAAAUCCACUCGGCCGCACCA
This 86-nucleotide transfer RNA is filed under the name Pectinatus brassicae. RNAcentral's name for it is "tRNA-Leu". It matches the Rfam family "tRNA". From Rfam's summary of the family: Transfer RNA (tRNA) molecules are approximately 80 nucleotides in length. The record is from RNAcentral. Lineage: Bacteria; Bacillati; Bacillota; Negativicutes; Selenomonadales; Selenomonadaceae.